This 440-nucleotide ribosomal RNA is filed under the name uncultured bacterium. RNAcentral's name for it is "partial 16S ribosomal RNA". It matches the Rfam family "Bacterial small subunit ribosomal RNA", at positions 338 to 795 of the family's 1533-position model. The record is from RNAcentral.
CCUACGGGAGGCUGCAGUGGGGGAUAUUGCACAAUGGGGGGAACCCUGAUGCAGCGACGCCGCGUGGGUGAAGAAGCGCCUCGGCGCGUAAAGCCCUGUCAGCAGGGGAGAAAAUGACGGUACCUGAAGAAGACGCCCCGGCUAACUACGUGCCAGCAGCCGGGGCAAAAAGUAGGGGGCAAGCGUUAUCCGGAUUUACUGGGUGUAAAGGGGGCGCAGACGGCGAUGCAAGCCAGGAGUGAAAGCCCGGGGCCCAACCCCGGGAGUGCUGUUGAAACUGGGUGGCUGGAGUGCAGGAGGGGCAGGCGGAAUGCCUGGUGUAGCGGUGAAAUGCGUAGAUAUCAGGAGGAACACCGGUGGCGAAGGCGGCCUGCUGGACUGCAACUGACGUUGAGGCCCGAAAGCGUGGGGAGCGAACAGGAUUAGAUACCCUGGUAGUC